RNAcentral lists this ribosomal RNA (1343 nucleotides) under uncultured bacterium. Its description in RNAcentral is "16S ribosomal RNA". It matches the Rfam family "Bacterial small subunit ribosomal RNA", at positions 28 to 1378 of the family's 1533-position model. The record is from RNAcentral.
GACGAACGCUGGCGGCGUGCUUAUCACAUGCAAGUCGAACGGAAAGGCCCUGCUUUUGUGGGGUGCUCGAGUGGCGAACGGGUGAGUAACACGUGAGUAACCUGCCCUUGACUUUGGGAUAACCUCAGGAAACUGGGGCUAAUACCGGAUAGGAGCUCCUGCUGCAUGGUGGGGGUUGGAAAGUUUCGGCGGUUGGGGAUGGACUCGCGGCUUAUCAGCUUGUUGGUGGGGUAGUGGCUUACCAAGGCUUUGACGGGUAGCCGGCCUGAGAGGGUGACCGGCCACAUUGGGACUGAGAUACGGCCCAGACUCCUACGGGAGGCAGCAGUGGGGAAUAUUGCACAAUGGGCGGAAGCCUGAUGCAGCAACGCCGCGUGCGGGAUGACGGCCUUCGGGUUGUAAACCGCUUUCGCCUGUGACGAAGCGUGAGUGACGGUUAUGGGUAAAGAAGCACCGGCUAACUACGUGCCAGCAGCCGCGGUGAUACGUAGGGUGCGAGCGUUGUCCGGAUUUAUUGGGCGUAAAGGGCUCGUAGGUGGUUGAUCGCGUCGGAAGUGUAAUCUUGGGGCUUAACCCUGAGCGUGCUUUCGAUACGGGUUGACUUGAGGAAGGUAGGGGAGAAUGGAAUUCCUGGUGGAGCGGUGGAAUGCGCAGAUAUCAGGAGGAACACCAGUGGCGAAGGCGGUUCUCUGGGCCUUUCCUGACGCUGAGGAGCGAAAGCGUGGGGAGCGAACAGGCUUAGAUACCCUGGUAGUCCACGCUGUAAACGGUGGGUACUAGGUGUGGGGUCCAUUCCACGGGUUCCGUGCCGUAGCUAACGCUUUAAGUACCCCGCCUGGGGAGUACGGCCGCAAGGCUAAGACUCAAAGGAAUUGACGGGGCCCCGCACAAGCGGCGGAGCAUGCGGAUUAAUUCGAUGCAACGCGUAGAACCUUACCUGGGUUUGACAUGGAUCGGGAGUGCUCAGAGAUGGGUGUGCCUCUUUUGGGGUCGGUUCACAGGUGGUGCAUGGCUGUCGUCAGCUCGUGUCGUGAGAUGUUGGGUUAAGUCCCGCAACGAGCGCAACCCUUGUUCACUGUUGCCAGCACGUUAUGGUGGGGACUCAGUGGAGACCGCCGGGGUCAACUCGGAGGAAGGUGGGGAUGACGUCAAGUCAUCAUGCCCCUUAUGUCCAGGGCUUCACGCAUGCUACAAUGGCUGGUACAGAGAGUGGCGAGCCUGUGAGGGUGAGCGAAUCUCGGAAAGCCGGUCUCAGUUCGGAUUGGGGUCUGCAACUCGACCUCAUGAAGUCGGAGUCGCUAGUAAUCGCAGAUCAGCAACGCUGCGGUGAAUACGUUCCCGGG